CGCGGGGUGGAGCAGUGGUAGCUCAUCAGGCUCAUAUCCUGAAGGUCGCGGGUUCGAAUCCCGCCCCCGCUACUA
This 75-nucleotide transfer RNA is filed under the name Bacteroidetes bacterium QH_1_64_81. Its description in RNAcentral is "tRNA-Met". It matches the Rfam family "tRNA". Rfam says of the family: Transfer RNA (tRNA) molecules are approximately 80 nucleotides in length. Their secondary structure includes four short double-helical elements and three loops (D, anti-codon, and T loops). RNAcentral also lists the same sequence under 4 other names. The record is from RNAcentral. Lineage: Bacteria; Pseudomonadati; Bacteroidota.